UUUUUCCCAAACCACUGGGAUGCGAGUUCCUGAGAGGGGCAGUUGGCCCCAGGGGUCAAAGGGUUAAUGCUUGCCCUGCAGCAGACCCUUCUGGCAUGGGCUUUUUUGGGUAUUUUUCAGGGAUUAUCAUCACAGAGAAAUUUCCUCCCGUGAAGCCUGCAUUCACAGUUUAUGGAGCAAAACAAUCAGAAGAGCCUUUCUGGAUGCCUGCUUGUCGGGUGCUGUGAAGGUGCCAAACUAAACAAUGUUAUUGUUACCUCCUGAGACGUGUGCCUAAGAGAAGCUCUGGCUUUUAAAAACCCUCUGCAGUGUCACACGGGUGACCACCUGGACAGGACAGCUCUUCCUCCUCUCAUCCCGUGCCCGUUACUUCUCCUCCCGUGAGUGAAGAGCCUCUCCCUUUCUUUUUCUUUUUUUUUUUUUUUUUUUUGCUUUAAAUUUGUUCUCUCUCCUUUUGGAUAUUAACAAAUUGCAUUUAUUGUUUCCUUUCCAUGUCAUCCUGUCCCAUUAGGUCAAGGCAUUUGAGGGAAUGCAUCUGCAUUGGGAUGUAUGCUUCUGCUCAGGCUGCACGGCUCAAAUGGGGUGCCUGACAUAAGGCCACCAGGAAGGGUUUGGCUCCCAGCUCGGGUUCCCCUUGGCUUUUCUUCUCAUUUCCACCAUGGCCCUGCUGCAACCACAGUUGUUUGGGGAACGUUUGCAGAGGAAGAGCUGGGGUGAAGGUGGAUUUUUACCAAUCCCAGAGACAUUGUGAGGAAGAGCUCGGUCGUAAUGGUGUUAAGGCAGCACAGGUGUUGCACCAGUAAGGACUGGAAACCUAAGGGAUGGGUCCUGCUCCGAUGCUCACAGCCCGUGGGGGUGCCAGCAAGUGGAUCCAAAUUGCCCUCGGAGGUGUGACGAGUGCCAGAAGGGAGCUGCCAGAAACCAACACGGGCAGAAGCUGGGACCUCUUGGCCAAGGUACUAAACCUUCAAAAAUGCAGAGCCACAGCUGUGCAAUUCAAGAUGAGCUGCAGCGUCUUUUCCUGCCACUGUUAA
RNAcentral lists this long non-coding RNA (1034 nucleotides) under Calidris pugnax (ruff). RNAcentral's name for it is "lncRNA (ENSCPUG00000015692.1)". Lineage: Eukaryota; Metazoa; Chordata; Aves; Charadriiformes; Scolopacidae. The record is from RNAcentral.